ACGAGCGUAGCUUCCUUGUCGUGUGGCCUCAGUCCUUCGCCGUCCCUCGCCGUCCUUCGCCAUCGCACGCCACCGCACCCCAUCUCUCGAAAUCUGCAGACAUCUUGAUUUUUCCCACGCUGUCUGUCAGGUCUCCGCCGCCACUCGACGCCAGGGCGCCGGGUGAGUCCACAGCAGGGCGCAUGGUCGGCUCCACUCUCACCAUCGGGGGAAACUGAGGCCCCGGGGAAGGCGGCCAGAGAGGUCAGGCCCUGUCCUUGGUGCAGUGUCUCGUCCUCUUUGCCGGAGUGAGCCCCCCAGGAUUCGCGUGUCCUCGGGAAAGACACUGGCAGGCCUUGUGGGCUGUGCUGCACCUCGGACGGCUUCGCACCAGCCAGCGCCCUCUCUCUCCUGCAGCACUCUGAUCUGCACCCCCUGAGGGGCUUCCACUGUCCGCGGGGUGAGAAUGCCCCUGGGAGUGUCACAUGACUGCCGCCCCAUGUGUGUGAGAGGCGUCCUCUGGGAGAGCAUGGAUCCUGAGGUCCCAGGCAGGGACAGGCCUGGGCCCUCUUCUGCCUUCGUGGGGCUGCUGCCAAGAAGGUGCUCCCUGAGCUUGAUUGGGGCUCUGAGAGUCCCUGACAAAGACCCUGUCAUGUUGAGAGGAAAACCAUGUGUUGGAAUGGACAGAGGGGCUGCGUUUCAGAUUCAAGCCUGGAUUCAUACCCAGUGCCCGGCUGAGCAGUCUUAUGAUUGUCAGCUGACCUCUGUCCUGUGUGCCCAGUGGCCCCAGGUGACGUGUCUUCAAGAAGAGGCUGAGCUGCGGUGCUUGUAAGAGUCAUGUGCUGUUCCUGGGGCUUGGAUGAUGUAGGGGAAGCAAGGUGAAAGUGGUAUCCCGUGGUUCCACGUUCUGUCCUGCUGUGGGGCUGUCCCUCACAUGCUUUCAGUGGCUGUUGCAGAGGAAGAGCCUCCGGAAAUCUGCGUGGGUAAAGUCUCAGCCUUAGAUCCAAGGACAGUCCAAGGAAGUCCUAAGACCAUGGAGUUGGUGAUCUGGGAUCUGGGUUUGCUGAUAUUUCUCACCGUGGUGAGUUGAUGCCAAGAGCCAGAACCCACAGCCAGAGGCUCAGCUGGUCCGUGUUUAUGCAGAUGGGAACCUCAAAUCACUGGUCUCACUUGUCCUUUGUUUCAGAAUCUCUUGGUGGUGUUUGUGGGCACGAGAGGGGCAGAGAAUGGAGAGUGAGGCUACCACAUGAAGCGUCACCAGAGCUGCUCCCUGCUGCCUGCUCAGAGCACCCCGGAUCCACUGUUCAAUCUGCACAAGAUUCGGGGUCCAGACAUGGGAGACUUCAGCUGCCUCAGAGGACCGUGGACAGGGAAGGCCAGCCUCGCAUCCCUCUGUCCAUGCCUGGAAUGACUUUAAUAACCAAGAGUUUUAUUUUUGAAUUUGUAGCUGUCGUUCACUUUUUACCCACCCAUUCAAUAAACCUUACAGAAUUGC
RNAcentral lists this long non-coding RNA (1474 nucleotides) under Homo sapiens (human). RNAcentral describes it as "small nucleolar RNA host gene 17". The record is from RNAcentral. Lineage: Eukaryota; Metazoa; Chordata; Mammalia; Primates; Hominidae.